CUGUCUUUUCUCUCCAGUAACAGACCUGACCUGUUGCAGGUGGGGAGUCUGCCACUGAGAACAGCAAGAGGUAUUUUUGCAGUCUGGCUGCUACCCUUCCUCCCAUCUUGCAUGCACACUGUGUAAAAACUUGUGGUCCAGCUCGUCCAUGAUUCUGCAGCUAGCAUGGUUCCCUCCUGCAAAGUAUACCUGCUCUCUUUGAAACCGACAUUAAAAAUCAGAAAAUCCCAGCUUCUCUUAGUAGCCAUAUUCAGCAGUUUCUCAGAUUAAUGCAGUCUUUUUGAGGCCUAUUUUUUUUUUAAGUUUUCCAGAAGGAAGAAAGGGCCAGGGCAGGGGUUUGUUACCGGAAAAAGGGUCUUAUCCCAGAUGCCAAGAGUGAGUUCUUGAAUCUCUCACGGGAAAGAAUUCAGGGUCUUUAUUUACUUAGCAUCAUUAACUUAUUCCCUCAACCUUAAAUAUCUUGUGACCAGGACUGCCCAAUCCCCUGGGACUAUAACCCAGCAGGUUUGGCUUUAUCCAGCCUCUAUUCAGGAUGGGGGCACUCUGGUUAGGACGACUCUGACAGAUUCACUGCAGCACCAGCCGAGGGCUCCUCCAGAGCUAAGAGCAGGAGAAGCAAGGCCACCCCAACACACAGGAACCACCAGACUUGAAUGGGCAACAGCAAGAUUCCAGCAGGAACUAUGAGAUCCAAAACAUCCAGUUAUUAGGGGUUGUUACCACAGGAAGGUGCUGAAGUCAGCACAGAGCAGAGGACUUGCAACCAAGAGCUUAAAAUUUAUUUUAAGAGUUGUUUGUCUGCUUGUUGGCAAUUUUUGAAGCCUUAAAUAUAUUUUAAUUCAAUAUAUUAAGAAAUUAUUAUUUCAAUAUACAACCUGGCUGGGUACAGUGGCUCACAUCUAUAACCCUAGCACUUUAGGAGACUGAGGCAGGAGGAUUACUUGAACCCAAGAGUUCAAUACCAGCCUGGGCAACAAAGUUAGAUCUCGUCUCUACAAAAAAUAAAAAAAUUAGUUGGGAGUGGUGGCACAUACCUGUAGUCCUAGCUACUUGGGAGGCUGAGGCAGGAGGAUCCCUUGAGCCCAGGAAUUUGAGGUUGCAGUGAGCCAUGAUUGCACCACUGCACUCCAGCCAGCCAUGAUCAACAGGGGUUUAUCCCACAUGCAUAAGGCUGGCUCAACAUUCAAAAAUCAAUUAAGGUAGUCCAUCACAUCAACUGGUUGAGAAAAAACAUUUUAUUACAUUUUACAUAAAAAUACAUACACAGGGGUGAGUAGUGGCUUACACCUAUAAUACAACACUUCGGGAGGCCAAGAGGCAGGAGGAUCGCUUGAGGUCAGGAGUUUGAGACAAGCCUGGGCAAAACAGUGGCAAAAAAAUCUCUACAAAAAAUAAAUAAAUAAAUAAAUAAAAAUCAGCCGGGCAUGGUGGCACAUGCCAGUAGUCCCAGCUACUCGGGAGGCUGAGGUGGGAGGGUUCCCCGCUUGAGCACAGAAGUUGUAGGCUGUGGUGAGCUAGGAUCACACCUCUAAAGCCUGGGGCAGAGUGGGGCCCCAUCUCUUCAAACAAACAAACAAACCAUAUACAGAAGAAAAUAGAAGGACAGUGUUAUCAUCUUGCUGUGGGGAAUAUCUUUCUAAGUAAGUUCCUAGAAACAAAGCAAAAUGAAAAGCAACUUAAUGGGAGGAUGUAUUUGUAACAUAUAAAAUGACACGGUGUUGAUAUCUAUCAUAUACAAAAAGCUUCAACAAAUCUACAUGAUAAACAACCGCACAGAAAAUGCACAAAAUAUAUGACAAGACAAUUCAGAGAAAAGGAAAUAGAAAUGGUUAAGCAUUUGAAGAGAUGCACAACUUCACUAAUCAUCAAGAACACGCAAAUUAAAACAAGAUACCACUUUUUAAACAUCUGGUUUUAAACGAUUCCGAGUUGAAUAUUCAGUGCUGGGAAUGGUCUGUGGAAUCAGGCACUUUCCUACACUGUAAGUGGAAAUGUAA
This 1997-nucleotide long non-coding RNA is filed under the name Homo sapiens (human). Its description in RNAcentral is "non-protein coding lnc-GMDS-5:1". Lineage: Eukaryota; Metazoa; Chordata; Mammalia; Primates; Hominidae. The record is from RNAcentral.